GAGGGUAUAGCUCAGUGGUAGAGCAUGUGCUUAGCAUGCACAAGGUCCUGGGUUCUAUCCCUAGUACCAGCA
Molecule: transfer RNA, 72 nt
Filed under: Camelus bactrianus (Bactrian camel)
Lineage: Eukaryota; Metazoa; Chordata; Mammalia; Artiodactyla; Camelidae
Also listed under: 2 other names
Rfam family: tRNA
About the family: Transfer RNA (tRNA) molecules are approximately 80 nucleotides in length.
Source: Rfam by way of RNAcentral